This 1089-nucleotide small RNA is filed under the name Pongo abelii (Sumatran orangutan). RNAcentral's name for it is "retained intron". The record is from RNAcentral. Lineage: Eukaryota; Metazoa; Chordata; Mammalia; Primates; Hominidae.
GUAGGACCCCAGCGGGUGUGGCAGCAACUGCCCUGGAGCCCCAGCCCCUGCGUCCAUCUGUGCUGUGCACCCCACAGUAGACGUGCAGACGUCCCUGAGAGGUUCUUGAAGAUGUUUAUUUAUAUUGUCCUUUUUUACUGGAAGACGUACGCAUACUCCAUCGAUGUUGUAUUUGCAGUGGCUGAGGAAUUCUUGUACGCAGUUUUCUUUGGCUUUACGAAGCCGAUUAAAAGACCGUGUGAAAUGAACCUUGCUCUGACAAUUCCCUUGCAUUGCACCACACACUCCUUGAUGCGGGCUCCUGCAGCCAGACCUGAGCAGACAGAGAGAAGGUGGAGAAGCAGCGGGUCUGCAAGCCUUCCGUGGGGCCUGCAGAGCUAGAAAGGGAGGCCCAGCAGACUGGCGCUGGUCAGGGUAGGGGAGCCAGGCGGGGGACGGGAGCGGGCAGCUCAGGCCUCAGGGCAGCCCUGGGAGGCUUCUGGCAGUGGUGGCCAGACGGCUGGACUGUGCGGGCAGCUUAGCAGGGACAGUGGACGUGCACCCGACGCUGACCUGGACUGCCUCAGUCUAGAAGCAGGCCAGAGAGCAGAGGCACGUGGCAUCCCAGGGCGACCUCAGACGGCCAGCCGGUUAGCUAGUUCUGCUGUUGCUUCACGAGUUCUGAGCAUUCUCUGCUAGCCUAUGGAAGCUGCAGCCCUCGGAGGACAGAAGUGUUGUGCGCCCAACAGAACCCUCUGAGACGCAAGCUGCUCCCUUGGCUAGCUCAUAUGUGGAAAUAGCCCUGUAAUUCGAGGUUGAAGGGGCCCGGCCAGGACUCGGGGAAGGGUGGCCUGAGAGCAGCGAUGACCUCUGGGGUCACUGUCCCAGGAGGGACUUCACCUGGAACAAGAGCUGGAGGCAGCCGCUUGCCCCGGAGGCUUGUCCCCUGAGGCGCUUCGCCAGUGAGGUGCGGGCUCAGGGUCUCGAGUCUCUCCUGGAGCACGGGCUGCGGUGCGCUGGCAGCUUAGGGGGCGGCCAGUCCUUGCCCACAACGAUGUGGAGCCCUGUGAAAGUCGGAUUCGAAUAAAGGGCCACGUGUGCACCCAGAAA